RNAcentral lists this long non-coding RNA (1581 nucleotides) under Vitis vinifera (wine grape). RNAcentral's name for it is "long non-coding RNA (VVIN_LNC000930)". Lineage: Eukaryota; Viridiplantae; Streptophyta; Magnoliopsida; Vitales; Vitaceae. The record is from RNAcentral.
CACCAUCACGAAAGCUGAGUUGCUGUUGAUUAGGAAAAGGAAAAUGUGUUCAAUGAGUGUUGAGUUUGGUGUUGUCUUCUUCAGAUUCUACUUUCCAUCACUUCUUCAUUUCACAUUUGAUUAGUGGAGAAUGGAGAUUCACUCACCAAAGGUAACUGCUUUUACUAUCAACUUUUUUAGGGCAUGUUUGGUGGGUUCAUCAAGAAAUUAAAAUCUUCUAUUUGAAAUAUUUGAAUUAAAAUUAUUUUUAUUUACUACUUCAAACUCAUUUUACCUAUUUUAACUCAUUAAUAAUUAAUUUUAAUUAUAUUUAAUUUUCUUUUAUAUUUUCCAUAGAACAACCAUACAUGUUUUAUUUGGAGUUUUUUUUUUUCUCUUCUUGAUAUUUUCCAGAAACCAAACAUAACCUAAAACUAUAUUUGGUUAAUAGGAUUCUAUAACAUGAUUUUUUAAAGUAGCAUAUCUAAUGGAAUAUAUUAUAUUAUAUUAUGUUUAUUUUUAAUUUGUGAAAUAAAUAAAUAAAAAUUAUGAAAUGUAUAUUAUUUUUAAUAUUUAAAAUAAAAAUUACAUCAAAUUCUAAUAUUUUCUAUUUUUAAAAAAUGAAAAUUUUCUUAUAUUUAAUAAUAUUUAUGAUUAAAAUGUUUAAACUUUAUAAAUAAAUUUUUUAUAUUAUGUUAUUUAAUAUAUAAAAAUAAUUUAUAUAUUAGAUGUUAAUAUUAGUUUAUAACUUUUUUUAGUUUUUUAAUCAUAAUUUAAUUCAUAAUAAAAAAUUAUUUUUCAAAAUGAGUGCAUAAAAAAAUUUAAAAAAAUAAAUUGAUAAAAAAAAAAAUUUAUAAUACAUAGAACUUACAUAUCUGAUAUCCCCAUCUUAUCCAAUGUUAUGUUGUACCUGACCAGUUAAAUAUUGCCUAUGCCUUUAUUGGUUUUUAAUUUCAUCAAUUAACAAUUCUAUAAAUAUAUUUUUUAAUAAAAAAUUAUUUUUAAUAAACAUUGGAUAUAGUUUUUUAAAGUGUUUUUCAACAUGGAACACCAAUCAGGGUGCCAACCAUGCGCUUAAAUUUAAAACAAUAUCCAUGGUUAAAUCGAGCUGACAAAUUUUAUGAAUAACAGUUGCAUCGGUCUGCGCUCAUGUGAAAUUCCAGCUCAUGUUAAUAGGUACAUGCGUAAGAGGAGCCUGGAUCCUAUGCUCCUUUGACACAUCAUAAGCAAUCUCUAACCAUCAUCAUGGCCGUUCAAAUGUUGAAAUAUAGAUGGGACCCCAUUCAGCAACGCGCUUGAUCUAAGUGAUUCCACUCGCUAUCCAUCAAUCCGUGCUUGGAUGUUUGACCGGAUCACAGUUGUACGUGUUGACUUCAAUAAUAGGGUGACGCAGAGAGACACGCGUGAAGUAGGUGAGUGGAGGCCAUGUUCUAUUAUUACGAAAGGUGGGCCACACCCACUUUGUCACGUAGUUCAUAAUGACAGCAACUUUGUCAAUGAUAUUAUUAAUAAUGAUAGUAUACAAAAAGUAGUGGUGAUCACUGUGGAUACUCCUUUGUCAAUAAUUUCCAUUUUUUUUUACACCUUUUAACCUUUUAUUCC